RNAcentral lists this ribosomal RNA (253 nucleotides) under uncultured bacterium. RNAcentral's name for it is "partial 16S ribosomal RNA". It matches the Rfam family "Bacterial small subunit ribosomal RNA", at positions 524 to 776 of the family's 1533-position model. The record is from RNAcentral.
UACAGAGGGGGCAAGCGUUGUUCGGAAUUACUGGGCGUAAAGGGCGCGUAGGCGGCCUGCUAAGUCGAACGUGAAAUCCCCGAGCUCAACUCGGGAACUGCGUCCGAUACUGGCAGGCUUGAAUCCGGGAGAGGGAUGCGGAAUUCCAGGUGUAGCGGUGAAAUGCGUAGAUAUCUGGAGGAACACCGGUGGCGAAGGCGGCAUCCUGGACCGGCAUUGACGCUGAGGCGCGAAAGCCAGGGGAGCAAACGGG